RNAcentral lists this ribosomal RNA (401 nucleotides) under uncultured bacterium. Its description in RNAcentral is "bacterial SSU rRNA". It matches the Rfam family "Bacterial small subunit ribosomal RNA", at positions 356 to 773 of the family's 1533-position model. The record is from RNAcentral.
GGGGGAUAUUGCACAAUGGGGGAAACCCUGAUGCAGCGAUGCCGCGUGGAGGAAGAAGGUUUUCGGAUUGUAAACUCCUGUCGUAAGGGAAGAGGAAGGACUGUACCUUACAAGAAAGCUCCGGCUAACUACGUGCCAGCAGCCGCGGUAAUACGUAGGGAGCGAGCGUUGUCCGGAAUGACUGGGUGUAAAGGGAGCGUAGGCGGGAUGGCAAGUCAGAUGUGAAACCUGAGGGCUCAACCUUCAGACUGCAUUUGAAACUGCUGUUCUUGAGUGAAGUAGAGGUAAGCGGAAUUCCUGGUGUAGCGGUGAAAUGCGUAGAGAUCAGGAGGAACAUCGGUGGCGAAGGCGGCUUACUGGGCUUUUACUGACGCUGAGGCUCGAAAGCGUGGGGAGCAAAC